GCAGGCAUGGUAUAGAGGUAAUACGUAAGCUUCCCAAGCUUGAAUCGAGGGUUCGAUUCCCUCUGCCUGCACCA
Molecule: transfer RNA, 74 nt
Filed under: Puniceicoccales bacterium
Lineage: Bacteria; Pseudomonadati; Verrucomicrobiota; Opitutia; Puniceicoccales
Description: tRNA-Gly
Rfam family: tRNA
About the family: Transfer RNA (tRNA) molecules are approximately 80 nucleotides in length.
Source: RNAcentral